GACCAGGAGCAACACAACUUGUCCUCAACGAUGGAAUGUAUGAAACAAUUCAUCUGCAGCAAACAUUUAAUUACGGUGGUAACACGUACUCUCAACUCAAUCUGAGUAUGGACAGUUAUGUGGCUUUCUUCAUUCCAAAUAUCGAUGAUGAAGUGCCCAACCGAAAUCUGGGCAAAGAUAUCAUUGCACCACUGUGGACUGAUUUGGACUCUGACAGUGGAGGAAGAUGGACCUACGAGCAGGCCACAAGUGGACCUUUAAUAGAUCGAACUAACCAAGAAAUUAACAGGAUGUUCCCCAAUGUUUACUUUUCUGCUUCCUGGGUCUUUGUUUCCACUUGGAAAAAUGUCCCACUUGAAUUCUCUGCUUUCAUGGGUGCAACACUUCAAGUCGUCUUGGCCUCGGAUGGUGGGGGCCUCUCUUUCAUCCUGAUGAACUAUGGGACUAUUCCUUCUAUCC
Molecule: long non-coding RNA, 459 nt
Organism: Silurus meridionalis
Lineage: Eukaryota; Metazoa; Chordata; Actinopteri; Siluriformes; Siluridae
Exons: 3
Source: RefSeq, a predicted model, not a curated record